This 254-nucleotide ribosomal RNA is filed under the name uncultured bacterium. Its description in RNAcentral is "partial 16S ribosomal RNA". It matches the Rfam family "Bacterial small subunit ribosomal RNA", at positions 524 to 776 of the family's 1533-position model. The record is from RNAcentral.
GACGAACCGUGCGAACGUUAUUCGGAAUUACUGGGCUUAAAGCGCGUGUAGGUGGAGGGGCGCAUCGAUUGCUGAAAGCCCCCGGCUCAACCGGGGAAGUGGCGUCGAGAUGGCCUGUCUUGAGGGGGGUAGGGGGAUCUGGAACUUCCGGUGGAGCGGUGAAAUGCGUUGAGAUCGGAAGGAACGCCCGUGGCGAAAGCGAGGUCCUGGACCCUUUCUGACACUGAGACGCGAAAGCCAGGGGAGCAAACGGG